ACACGACUACAUUAGAUACCCCGGUAGUCCCAGCCCUAAACGAUGCGCGUUAGGUGUAUCGGUGACCACGAGUCACCGAGGUGCCGAAGGGAAACCGUGAAACGUGCCGCCUGGGAAGUACGGCCGCAAGGCUGAAACUUAAAGGAAUUGGCGGGGGAGCACAACAACGGGUGGAGCUUGCGGUUUAAUUGGAUUCAACGCCGGAAAUCUUACCGGGACCGACAGCAACAUGAAGGCCAAGCUGAAGACUUUGCCGGAUUAGCUG
RNAcentral lists this ribosomal RNA (265 nucleotides) under uncultured archaeon. RNAcentral's name for it is "partial 16S ribosomal RNA". It matches the Rfam family "Archaeal small subunit ribosomal RNA", at positions 717 to 982 of the family's 1478-position model. The record is from RNAcentral.